GACGAACGCUGGCGGCGUGCUUAACACAUGCAAGUCGAACGGAAAGGCCCUGCUUGCAGGGUACUCGAGUGGCGAACGGGUGAGUAACACGUGGGUGAUCUGCCCUGCACUUCGGGAUAAGCCUGGGAAACUGGGUCUAAUACCGGAUAGGAGCCAUUUUUAGUGUGAUGGUUGGAAAGUUUUUUCGGUGUAGGAUGAGCUCGCGGCCUAUCAGCUUGUUGGUGGGGUAAUGGCCUACCAAGGCGGCGACGGGUAGCCGGCCUGAGAGGGUGGACGGCCACAUUGGGACUGAGAUACGGCCCAGACUCCUACGGGAGGCAGCAGUGGGGAAUAUUGCACAAUGGGCGCAAGACUGAUGCAGCGACGCCGCGUGGGGGAUGACGGCCUUCGGGUUGUAAACUCCUUUCGCUAGGGACGAAGCUUUUUGUGACGGUACCUAGAGAAGAAGCACCGGCUAACUACGUG
RNAcentral lists this ribosomal RNA (465 nucleotides) under uncultured bacterium. Its description in RNAcentral is "partial 16S ribosomal RNA". It matches the Rfam family "Bacterial small subunit ribosomal RNA", at positions 28 to 507 of the family's 1533-position model. The record is from RNAcentral.